GUGGGGAAUAUUGGGCAAUGGGGGAAACCCUGACCCAGCGACGCCGCGUGAGGGAAGACGGCCUUCGGGUUGUAAACCUCUUUUGUACGGGAAGAAGGAAGUGACGGUACUGUACGAAUAAGUCCCGGCUAACUACGUGCCAGCAGCCGCGGUAAUACGUAGGGGACGAGCGUUGUCCGGACUUACUGGGCGUAAAGGGCGCGCAGUCUGUGCUGAAAGUCAGCUGUGAAAUGUCUGGGCUUAACCCGGGCAUGCGGUUGAGACUGCAGUGCUGGAGUGCUGUAGAGGCAAGUGGAAUUCCCAGUGUAGCGGUGAAAUGCGUAGAUAUUGGGAAGAACACCGGUGGCGAAGGCGACUUGCUGGGCAGCAACUGACGCUGAGGCGCGAAAGCCAGGGGAGCAAACGGGAUUAGAAACCCGUGUAGUCC
Molecule: ribosomal RNA, 427 nt
Filed under: uncultured bacterium
Lineage: Bacteria
Description: partial 16S ribosomal RNA
Rfam family: Bacterial small subunit ribosomal RNA
Source: RNAcentral